RNAcentral lists this unclassified non-coding RNA (338 nucleotides) under soil metagenome. RNAcentral's name for it is "partial contains 5.8S ribosomal RNA, internal transcribed spacer 2, and large subunit ribosomal RNA". The stretch from base 1 to 120 matches the Rfam family "5.8S ribosomal RNA", at positions 35 to 154 of the family's 154-position model. The record is from RNAcentral.
GAUGAAGAACGCAGCGAAAUGCGAUACGUAGUGUGAAUUGCAGAAUUCAGUGAAUCAUCGAAUCUUUGAACACACAUUGCACCUCUCGGUAUUCCGGGAGGUAUGCCUGUUCGAGCGUCAUUUGUACCCUCAAGCUCUGCUUGGUGUUGGGUGUUUGUUCCGCCUCUGUGUGUGAACUCGCCUCAAAACAAUUGGCAGCCGGCGUACUUGUUUCGGAGCGCAGCACAUUUUGCGAUCCAGAUCAACGUACAGCGGCAUCCAAGAAGCCUUAUUUAACGCUCUUGACCUCGGAUCAGGUAGGGAUACCCGCUGAACUUAAGCAUAUCAAAAGCGGAGGA